ACCUGACUGGCUUAGUUGGUAGAGUAUAUGACUCUUGAUCUCAGGGUUGUGAGUUCGAGUCUCAUAUUAGAUG
This 73-nucleotide transfer RNA is filed under the name Canis lupus familiaris (dog). It matches the Rfam family "tRNA". From Rfam's summary of the family: Transfer RNA (tRNA) molecules are approximately 80 nucleotides in length. Their secondary structure includes four short double-helical elements and three loops (D, anti-codon, and T loops). The record is from Rfam by way of RNAcentral. Lineage: Eukaryota; Metazoa; Chordata; Mammalia; Carnivora; Canidae. RNAcentral also lists the same sequence under 1 other name.